GUCACCAUGAAGUCCGUUUCUUCUUAUAUAUUCUGAAAAGUUUAUUAUUCAUAUUCAUCACUCACUCACGGAAGCUGUACUCGUUAGUUACGCAUCUUGUACAGCGUGCCAACCAAAUACACAACAGAGAAUCGCCCUAAAAAUGCAAGGUGUCAUUUUCAACUUCGUCUCUUUCGUAUAUUAUGAUUUCCUUGGGUAAUUCCUGCCCGUCACUCACUCACAAAAGCUGUACUCAUGUUUUACUCUCUAAUACUCUGUUCCAAAUAACUGCACAAUAAAGAAACGGCCUAUGUAAUGUUCUCUAAAAAUGCAAGGUGUCACUUUCAACUUCGUCUCUUUCGUAUAUUAUCAUUUCCUUGGGUAAUUCCUGCCCGUCACUCACUCACAAAAGCUAUACUCAUGUUUUACCAUAUAAUACUCUGUUCCAAAUAACUGCGCAAU
This is a long non-coding RNA of Eriocheir sinensis (Chinese mitten crab), 441 nucleotides long. RefSeq lists it as uncharacterized. The transcript is spliced from 3 exons. NCBI's taxonomy places the organism in Eukaryota, Metazoa, Arthropoda, Malacostraca, Decapoda, Varunidae. The record is from RefSeq and is a predicted model, not a curated record.